This 249-nucleotide unclassified non-coding RNA is filed under the name Patellaria sp. RNAcentral describes it as "partial contains 5.8S ribosomal RNA, internal transcribed spacer 2, and large subunit ribosomal RNA". Lineage: Eukaryota; Fungi; Ascomycota; Dothideomycetes; Patellariales; Patellariaceae. The record is from RNAcentral.
CGCAUAUUGCGCCCUUUGGUAUUCCGAGGGGCAUGCCUGUUCGAGCGUCAUUUCAAACCAUCAAGCAUAGCUUGGCAUUGGGAAUAAGCCUGGUCUAGCUAGGCUCCUCAAAAGAGUUGGCAACCGACCGAAAAUCUCAGACGUACCACAACUGAAUAAGUUUUCGUUUGGUGGUUAUUCGUGUCGUUGUCUUGUUUUUUUAAUAUCUCGAUUGACCUCGAAUCAGGUAGGGAUACCCGCUGAACUUAA